Triticum aestivum (bread wheat) is the source of this 124-nucleotide non-coding RNA. The record is from Rfam. Lineage: Eukaryota; Viridiplantae; Streptophyta; Magnoliopsida; Poales; Poaceae.
ACUGUACUCCCUUCGUUCGGAAUUACUUGUACAAAAGUAGAUAAAAAUGAAUGUAUCUACAAUUAAAAUACAUUUAGAUACAUUAAUUUUUUAGACGAGUAAUUCCGAACGAAGGGAGUAUUAU